GACUCCAGUUCUGGUUCACAGCAAGUAAUGGGCUGGUUGGUUGGUUCACUCUCCUGUACCUGUAAGAUGAGGAGCUGUCACUACCACAGGAAGAGUAGCAGAAGGUCUCUGGUGACAAGGCCUUUCUCUACACAUGAAUGCAUCAUUUCAGCAACCCUGAUAGCUGCCUGCCUGUUUCCAGAUGCAGCUUCACGUUACCUUUUCCUUUCCCAGUGUUAGGUGAUGUGGCUUUUGGCUGUAUGAUAUCCUUAGAAAUCUGGAGCAGCACAUUGGUGAUUCUGGUACUAACAGGACUCAAGAGUUCAGCCUACUGAGGGAGGCAGUGCUGGAGGUAUUCCUUGUGUGCGUGUAUUGAUGGGGUCCCAUGCUCUGGAACCACCUCUCUCUGCAUCCAAGAGAGCUGGUUUGUGCAGGCCUACAGAGAUCAGAGAAGUGCCUUGCCUUUAGUCAGCUGUUUGCUCAGGAAGGGAUGUGUUGUUGCUAGGGGAUGUAAUUUCCUUCCAGCUCAGAGAAAGAUGAAGGUAUAUAUAUUUUUAGGUACUUAUAAUAUGUGCACCUUAUCUUUAUAGGAGGAUUUAUUGUGUAAAUCAAUGACAAAAUAAACGGUAACAGUUCCAGUGACAAAAUAAAUGGUAACAGCUCCUGCACAAACAGGGCAAGGGAAAGGUUCAGUCUCCAAUGCAGUUUUCCUGCUUAACCAAUUAUUAAAGCUACUGACACACCAAA
Long non-coding RNA from Pogoniulus pusillus (Red-fronted tinkerbird), 726 nucleotides. RefSeq lists it as uncharacterized. The record is from RefSeq and is a predicted model, not a curated record. Lineage: Eukaryota; Metazoa; Chordata; Aves; Piciformes; Lybiidae. The transcript has 2 exons.